UCUAUGCUUCUAGCUAACGUUUGCUGGUUCUCUAUGGCAGAGGGUCAGGCAGGAUGUUGACACAUCACCUGAGCCCAGGACUCAGGUGAGGUGUGCAUGUGUCAUACCUGUGCCAUGUCUGAGGAAGGUUGGGAACCCCUCAGAUGUGGUUAAGUGCUCAGACCCGCCAUUUAUAGUAGAAUGAAAGAAGGAGGCUGGCCUAGGAAGGGGUAGACUAAUGAGAUGGAUACUCAGGGAACGGCAUGAGGGAGCAAAAGCCUACCAUAGGACUUCUAAACUCCAGGGCAGCCUAUUAGAGAAGGCCAGCAACCAAAAUAGCUCAAGAGGGCCAGGUGGCCAGGGUGAACUUGAAAGCCCCUUCUCGCCAAUCAUCUAUGGGUGGCUGUUGCCAUUGCUUAGCUCCAGAUAAUUGCUGCCAUGAGAGAAUGUGUAGCCCAUGAUGGCAGGCAGUUUCUCUUUUUCAAGAGAAACUAGAAUUUUACAUGAAAUCUCUUCAUUUUUAUUUUAUUUUUAAUUGCCUUCCCUAGGUUUUCAAUGUUACCAGCAGGUUCAAUUAAAACCAACCAGCCAACCUGUGGCAUAAUAGUACAGGCAGGGACACUUCUAUAGAACCUUCUGCAGGUCACCCUAUUCCAAGGACCUGUCCCCUGAUGCUAGAGGAGCCUUUGUGGAAUGCCUGGACUCAGGCACCGAGGGCUACUUCCUCAAGAUGGCUCUUCCGGUCUCCCUGGAGGUGCCUACCUUUAACGCUGGGCACUCGUCCCUAUCAGG
Molecule: long non-coding RNA, 771 nt
Organism: Canis lupus familiaris (dog)
Lineage: Eukaryota; Metazoa; Chordata; Mammalia; Carnivora; Canidae
Exons: 2
Source: RefSeq, a predicted model, not a curated record